UGUGGUCGAAAGGAGCUCCCAUCGGUCCAAAACGAGGACGACAGAGGGUGUACCCGCCUGCUGAUUCAUGGAUGCCUCUAGGGUGCGCAGGUUAACAAUGCUGUACGCACAGCUUAAGGGUUUGCAUGACUCAGGAGACGUGCUUGCCUUCUCAUUUCUUUGCUUGGAUUGAUGGGAGCUCCAUCAUUUUGCUCC
RNAcentral lists this microRNA precursor (195 nucleotides) under Theobroma cacao (cacao). RNAcentral describes it as "pre miRNA MIR159". It matches the Rfam family "MIR159 microRNA precursor family". The record is from Rfam by way of RNAcentral. Lineage: Eukaryota; Viridiplantae; Streptophyta; Magnoliopsida; Malvales; Malvaceae.